CUCUUGGUACUUUACAGGAGGAAUGGGCCGAACACUGCCAUUUGAGGGUGAACCUGACCAUCUUGUUCCAGCAGCAUCAGAGGCACAUAUUGAAAGCAACCUCUUCCGGGUUGCACGAAGGAUGUUGGCCCACACCUUUCUGCAUGACGGUCCCCAUGUUACAGGAUUAAGUCCUGCUGUAAUUCAUGUACUGUUCAAUGGGGACCCUGAAAUGGCUACUGUUGUUGUUGAACACUGUCCUGAUCUGCACAUCAGGAGCAUCAUAGAACUGGUAUGUAACCUAGCCAUGUAAAAAGUAUUGCUUGGGCAGAUAUAAUAAAUGGUAUGGUCCUUAUUCUAGCCUGAACAUGAAGAACUUACACCAGAACAGAAAGACACAGUUUCAGAUCUUUCCAUGUCUUGGGAUCUUCCGGCAGUCACCAAAACAAAUCGGAGAUGGCUACAUAAUAAACUUCUACUCCAUGCAGUGAGUUCCUGCUGGUUAAGUGACAGAUUUCAUUGCUGUACUUGUUGAAAUUAUAGAAUGUAUUCUGAACCCUGGCUUGUUAAUGUUAACACGAGAGUUUAAGUACUAGAGUUUUAAUGGAUUUUAUGAGGCACUUUAUUGUGCUUUUAUUAACAUUUUUUCUACUGUGCGAACUUUUGUCAAAUUUGGGUUUUAAUAUGGGUCGGUGGGAGGACCAUGCGCCAAAUUAAACAGUUGAGAAAGGGACUGAAAGAUGUAAUGGUAUGGCCCCUGCUGACAUCUAGGCCAGAUGUUGUCCCACUUUUCCCCAAAAUGGCUGAAAUGCAGUUCACACCCCAGGUAAGUCAGUAAUUGAGUUACAUUUGUGACUUAACUUGAUGAAUUUUACGUCUAUUUUCAAUGACUGAGCUGGCUAUUUUUCCAUUUUCCAAGAAUGUGAUCUGCAUAGUCCUUCACCAAAAUAAGUUCUCCCUUUUUAAAAUUACAAUUUUUGUUUUCUUUAAGAUGCUCCUAGAAAAAAAAUCACAUGACCAGUUGAGGACAGUGACGAUGAAGACUUUGACACCACCUGCCGCAUCACUGGCUUUCUAAGGAUGUUCAUUGAAACAGGUAUAAACCUUAUUUCUCUUUACAAAUGCUUCUAUGUCUCAUGGAUAGAUAUGAUCAAAUAAAGUAAACUAAAUGUCUUCAAUCCAUUGUAUGACUUUCAGCUUCAUCAGGUACCCUGGCCCAGCUGCUGACAUUCUGGGUUGGCUGGGAGAGGCUUCCUCCUGAACUGACAGUGGAGAUUUCUGAGGGAACCCUUCCUACGUCCUCCACAUGCUUUGAAACACUAACGCUGCCAGCUCAUUUCAAGAUCUACAUGGACUUUGAGAAAGCACUGGAUUUGGGCUUGUUUAAUUUUUUUCAGACAGAUGUCAAUUAGGGCUGGGCAAUAUUUCAAUAUUAUAUCUAUUGUGAUUUUGAAGCGUAAUAUCGUUACAUAGUAAGUUUAGUCUUUUCCUGUUUUCAAAGGCUGCAUUACAGUAAAGUGUCAUUUUCUGAAUUUACCGGACUGUUCUAUUAUUUGCCUUUAACCACUUAGUCAUUAUAUCCACAUUAUGAUGGUUAUUUAUCAGAAAUUUAAAUGUGGAAGAUAUUUUGUGAAUGAAUCAAUUGUUAACCAUACAAUAUAGUCAUUGAGGUGUUUGGUCAAAACUAUUGUGAUAUUUGAUUUUCUCCAUAUUGCCCAGCCCCAAUGUCAAUGCCUACACUGUUCAGAUGAAUUGACACAAGUUCAGUGUCUUUGAAAACUUUGAUUAACACACUGUGGUCGUUUAUUUAUUUUUUAUAACCUAUGAGGAAUAUGGACGAAGAGAUGCACUUUAAGUAUUUCCGCAUGUCGGCUUUGUCACGGUGUGGUUCACUUCAUGUUAUAUUUUGUAGUUUUCUGCCACUCGUGUCCCCGGGUAACUUCACUUCCUGCCUUGUCCCGUCAUCCCCUGUGAUCGUCUAAUACAGGGGUCUCAAACUCGCGGCCCGCGGGCCAAUUGCGGCCCUCGGGACGAUAUUUUGUGGCCCCAUCCUUAAUAUGAAAGUGUAAUGUUAGUGCGGCCCGCAAGUUUUAUACUGUAACCCCACUGUCAGCUGCUGUGUGGGAAAUGUUAUGAUGUUCUGGUUUCCUACUGUGUGCUUGUCCAGUGAACGUGGCAUGCAUGUGACUGACAUGGGGGGCGGGUCGUGUGUGUCGGCCGAGGUGCAGAGAGCAGGAGGGUGAAAUUCAGUUUCCUGCCCUCUUUCGCGCAGGUGAUCAUGUGACUAACCUUUUCCUUUACGACUCACACUAACAACACAUGAAGCAUCGGACGUCACCGACGAGCGUCUCCGUCCAUUCUAUUCUAGGACACACAGGAGGAGGGAGGGAGAGGACACUGGCUGUUGCUGGCAUUUACCAAGCAAAUACGCCACUGGAGCCACGGGAGCACAGAGCAGCACGCAUCUAGUCGCCCGGAAAUGACGCACAAGAGGAAGAGCUUCUUCUUCUUCUUCUUUUGCUUUUUAUGGCGGUUGGCAAACAACUUUCGGGUGCAUUACCGCCACCCACUAAUCUGGAGUGUGGAUUUAAGGAAAUUAAACCUCUACUAGAACUCAACCAAAUCAAAACCGAAAAA
This is a long non-coding RNA of Gasterosteus aculeatus aculeatus (three-spined stickleback), 2616 nucleotides long. The record is from Ensembl. Lineage: Eukaryota; Metazoa; Chordata; Actinopteri; Perciformes; Gasterosteidae.